UACAGAGGGGGCAAGCGUUGUUCGGAAUUACUGGGCGUAAAGGGCGCGUAGGCGGCCUGUUAAGUCGAACGUGAAAUCCCCGGGCUCAACCCGGGAACUGCGUCCGAUACUGGCAGGCUUGAAUCCGGGAGAGGGAUGGGGAAUUCCAGGUGUAGCGGUGAAAUGCGUAGAUAUCUGGAGGAACACCGGUGGCGAAGGCGGCAUCCUGGACCGGUAUUGACGCUGAGGCGCGAAAGCGUGGGGAGCGAACAGG
RNAcentral lists this ribosomal RNA (253 nucleotides) under uncultured bacterium. RNAcentral describes it as "partial 16S ribosomal RNA". It matches the Rfam family "Bacterial small subunit ribosomal RNA", at positions 524 to 776 of the family's 1533-position model. The record is from RNAcentral.